Molecule: ribosomal RNA, 267 nt
Filed under: uncultured bacterium
Lineage: Bacteria
Description: partial 16S ribosomal RNA
Rfam family: Bacterial small subunit ribosomal RNA
Source: RNAcentral
CGUAAACAAAGGGAAGCGAGACCGCGAGGUUAAGCAAAUCUCAAAAAUAACGUCUCAGUUCGGAUUGUAGUCUGCAACUCGACUACAUGAAGCUGGAAUCGCUAGUAAUCGCGAAUCAGCAUGUCGCGGUGAAUACGUUCCCGGGUCUUGUACACACCGCCCGUCACACCAUGGGAGUCGAUAACGCCCGAAGCCGGUGACUCAACCGAAAGGAGAGAGCCGUCGAAGGCGGGAUGGAUAACUGGGGUGAAGUCGUAACAAGGUAAC